AAUGAACGCUGGCGGCGUGCUUAACACAUGCAAGUUGAACGAGAAAGCGACUUCGGUCGUGAGUAUAGUAGCAAACGGGUGAGUAACGCGUGGGAAUCUACCCAAAGGAGAAGGAUAACUUGGAGAAAUCUGGGCUAAUCCUGCAUAGUCUCGAAAGAGUAAAGAUGGCCUCUUGCUGUCGCCUUUGGAUGAGCCCGCGUCCUAUUAGCUUGUUGGUGGGGUAAUGGCCUACCAAGGCAGAGAUGGGUAUCCGGCCUGAGAGGGUGAACGGACACAUUGGGACUGAGAUACGGCCCAG
This 298-nucleotide ribosomal RNA is filed under the name uncultured bacterium. RNAcentral describes it as "partial 16S ribosomal RNA". It matches the Rfam family "Bacterial small subunit ribosomal RNA", at positions 29 to 334 of the family's 1533-position model. The record is from RNAcentral.